GAUUUCUGGCUUGACGAGGCUGACCCUUCCCUUUCGGGUUGUGUGUCGGUUCUUGUCUGCCAUCCUUCCACAAAACCUUUCUACCUUUAACUGGGCCGGAUUGGCGAUGUGGAACUUUUACUUUGAAAAAAUUAGAGUGUUCAAAGCAGGCGUUCGCUGUGAAUACAUUAGCAUGGAAUAAUAAUCUAGGACUUACGUUCUAUUUUGUUGGUUUUCAGGACUAAGUAAUGAUUGAUAGGGAUAGUUGGGGGUGCUAGUAUUCAGCGGCCAGAGGUGAAAUUCUUGGAUUCGCUGAAGACUAACUUAUGCGAAAGCAUU
Molecule: ribosomal RNA, 318 nt
Filed under: uncultured Marimonadida
Lineage: Eukaryota; Cercozoa; Imbricatea
Description: SSU rRNA
Rfam family: Eukaryotic small subunit ribosomal RNA (bases 110-318)
Source: RNAcentral